GUACACUCCUACGGGAGGCAGCAGUGGGGAAUAUUGGACAAUGGGCGCAAGCCUGAUCCAGCCAUGCCGCGUGAGUGAUGAAGGCCCUAGGGUUGUAAAGCUCUUUCACCGGUGAAGAUAAUGACGGUAACCGGAGAAGAAGCCCCGGCUAACUUCGUGCCAGCAGCCGCGGUAAUACGAAGGGGGCUAGCGUUGUUCGGAUUUACUGGGCGUAAAGCGCACGUAGGCGGACUAUUAAGUCAGGGGUGAAAUCCCGGGGCUCAACCCCGGAACUGCCUUUGAUACUGGUAGUCUUGAGUUCGAGAGAGGUGAGUGGAAUUCCGAGUGUAGAGGUGAAAUUCGUAGAUAUUCGGAGGAACACCAGUGGCGAAGGCGGCUCACUGGCUCGAUACUGACGCUGAGGUGCGAAAGCGUGGGGAGCAAACAGGAUUAGAUACCCCAGUAGUCCC
Molecule: ribosomal RNA, 449 nt
Filed under: uncultured organism
Description: partial 16S ribosomal RNA
Rfam family: Bacterial small subunit ribosomal RNA
Source: RNAcentral